RNAcentral lists this ribosomal RNA (439 nucleotides) under uncultured bacterium. RNAcentral's name for it is "partial 16S ribosomal RNA". It matches the Rfam family "Bacterial small subunit ribosomal RNA", at positions 342 to 795 of the family's 1533-position model. The record is from RNAcentral.
CGGGGUGCAGCAGCAGUGAGGAAUAUUGCACAAUGGGGGGAACCCUGAUGCAGCAACGCCGCGUGGAGGAUGACGCAUUUCGGUGUGUAAACUCCUUUUAUAUGUCAAGAAAAUGACGGUAGCAUAUGAAUAAGCACCGGCUAACUCCGUGCCAGCAGCCGCGGUAAUACGGAGGGUGCAAGCGUUACUCGGAAUCACUGGGCGUAAAGGACGCGUAGGCGGGUUGGAAAGUCAGGUGUGAAAUCCUACAGCUUAACUGUAGAACUGCACUUGAAACUUCUAAUCUAGAGUAUGGGAGGGGGAGAUGGAAUUAGUGGUGUAGGGGUAAAAUCCGUAGAUAUCACUAGGAAUACCUAAAGCGAAGGCGAUCUCCUGGAACAUUACUGACGCUAAGGCGUGAAAGCGUGGGGAGCAAACAGGAUUAGAUACCCUUGUAGUC